Molecule: unclassified non-coding RNA, 309 nt
Filed under: Cystobasidiopsis lactophilus
Lineage: Eukaryota; Fungi; Basidiomycota; Agaricostilbomycetes; Agaricostilbales; Chionosphaeraceae
Description: partial contains 5.8S ribosomal RNA, internal transcribed spacer 2, and large subunit ribosomal RNA
Source: RNAcentral
CGCACCUUGCGCUUUCGGGUUAUUCCUGGAAGCAUGCUUGUUUGAGUGUCGCGUACCCUCUCCACCCCGCCCCUCUCACGGGGGGUAGACCUUUCAGGGUGGGAUCAUGGCGCCUUUGCCGUGCUUUUGAAGCAUGGCUGCGCUGAAUUGCAAUCAAGCUGUAUCUUUGCCAAGCGACCGGCGGCUUGACCCGUUGUCAUAAGACUUUCAAUGGGGACGCCAACCGCUAAACCUUUUGAAGAACGAGCUUACCGAAAUGAACUUUAUCGCAUUGACCUCAAAUCAAGUAGGACUACCCGCUGAACUUAA